RNAcentral lists this ribosomal RNA (263 nucleotides) under Cryptosporidium suis. RNAcentral describes it as "partial small subunit ribosomal RNA". The stretch from base 106 to 263 matches the Rfam family "Eukaryotic small subunit ribosomal RNA", at positions 751 to 913 of the family's 1831-position model. Lineage: Eukaryota; Apicomplexa; Conoidasida; Eucoccidiorida; Cryptosporidiidae. The record is from RNAcentral.
AAGCUCGUAGUUGGAUUUCUGUUAAUAAUUUAUAUAUAAUAUUUUUAAUAUUUAUAUAAUAUUAACAUAAUUCAUAUUACUAUAAUUUUUAUUAGUAUAUGAAAUUUUACUUUGAGAAAAUUAGAGUGCUUAAAGCAGGCAUAUGCCUUGAAUACUCCAGCAUGGAAUAAUAUAAAAGAUUUUUAUCUUUUUUAUUGGUUCUAAGAUAAAAAUAAUGAUUAAUAGGGACAGUUGGGGGCAUUUGUAUUUAACAGUCAGAGGUA